CGGGGGAAUCGACCCCCUCGGUGUCGUAGCCAACGCGUUAAGUGUUCCGCCUGGGGAGUACGCACGCAAGUGUGAAACUCAAAGGAAUUGACGGGGGCCCGCACAAGCGGUGGAGUAUGUGGUUUAAUUCGAUGCAACGCGAAGAACCUUACCAGGGUUUGACAUCCUGCGAAUCCCCUGGAAACGGGGGAGUGCCUUCGGGAGCGCAGAGACAGGUGGUGCAUGGCUGUCGUCAGCUCGUGUCGUGAGAUGUUGGGUUAAGUCCCGCAACGAGCGCAACCCACGUCUUUAGUUGCCAGCAUUCAGUUGGGCACUCUAGAGAGACCGCCGGUGAUAAACCGGAGGAAGGUGUGGAUGACGUCAAGUCAUCAUGCCCCUUACAUCCUGGGCUACACACGUACUACAAUGCUACGGACAAAGGGCAGCAAACUCGCGAGAGCUAGCAAAUCCCAUAAACCGUGGCUCAGUUCAGAUCGUAGGCUGCAACUCGCCUACGUGAAGUCGGAAUCGCUAGAAUCGAAUUCCCGCGGCC
Molecule: ribosomal RNA, 532 nt
Filed under: uncultured Synechococcus sp.
Lineage: Bacteria; Bacillati; Cyanobacteriota; Cyanophyceae; Synechococcales; Synechococcaceae
Description: bacterial SSU rRNA
Rfam family: Bacterial small subunit ribosomal RNA
Source: RNAcentral